GGGUUGUGAGGUUAAGCGACUAAGCGUACACGGUGGAUGCCCUGGCAGUCAGAGGCGAUGAAGGACGUGCUAAUCUGCGAUAAGCGUCGGUAAGGUGAUAUGAACCGUUAUAACCGGCGAUUUCCGAAUGGGGAAACCCAGUGUGAUUCGUCACACUAUCAUUAACUGAAUCCAUAGGUUAAUGAGGCGAACCGGGGGAACUGAAACAUCUAAGUACCCCGAGGAAAAGAAAUCAACCGAGAUUCCCCCAGUAGCGGCGAGCGAACGGGGAGCAGCCCAGAGCCUGAAUCAGUGUGUGUGUUAGUGGAAGCGUCUGGAAAGGCGCGCGAUACAGGGUGACAGCCCCGUACACAAAAAUGCACAUACUGUGAGCUCGAUGAGUAGGGCGGGACACGUGGUAUCCUGUCUGAAUAUGGGGGGACCAUCCUCCAAGGCUAAAUACUCCUGACU
Molecule: ribosomal RNA, 450 nt
Filed under: Escherichia coli
Lineage: Bacteria; Pseudomonadati; Pseudomonadota; Gammaproteobacteria; Enterobacterales; Enterobacteriaceae
Description: bacterial LSU rRNA
Rfam family: Bacterial large subunit ribosomal RNA
Source: RNAcentral